This 253-nucleotide ribosomal RNA is filed under the name uncultured bacterium. RNAcentral describes it as "partial 16S ribosomal RNA". It matches the Rfam family "Bacterial small subunit ribosomal RNA", at positions 524 to 776 of the family's 1533-position model. The record is from RNAcentral.
GACGAGGGGUCCUAGCGUUGUUCGGAAUCACUGGGCGUAAAGCGUAUGUAGGCGGCUUUUCAAGUCAGGUGUGAAAUCCCAUGGCUUAACCAUGGAACUGCAUUUGAAACUGUAAGGCUUGAGUAUUGGAGAGGAUGGUAGAAUUCCUGGUGUAGUGGUGAAAUACGUAGAUAUCAGGAGGAAUACCGGUGGCGAAGGCGGCCAUCUGGCCAAAUACUGACGCUGAGAUACGAAAGUGUGGGGAUCAAACAGG